RNAcentral lists this ribosomal RNA (355 nucleotides) under uncultured bacterium. RNAcentral's name for it is "bacterial SSU rRNA". It matches the Rfam family "Bacterial small subunit ribosomal RNA", at positions 1 to 334 of the family's 1533-position model. The record is from RNAcentral.
CUAGCGACUUCAGAGUUUGAUCUGGCUCAGGAUGAACGCUGGCGGCGUGCUUAACACAUGCAAGUCGAACGAAGCACUUUACUUUGAUUUCUUCGGAAUGAUUGUUCUGUGACUGAGUGGCGGACGGGUGAGUAACGCGUGGGUAACCUGCCUCGUACAGGGGGAUAACAGUUGGAAACGGCUGCUAAUACCGCAUAAGCGCACAGCAUCGCAUGAUGCAGUGUGAAAAACUCCGGUGGUAUGAGAUGGACCCGCGUUGGAUUAGCUAGUUGGUGAGGUAACGGCUCACCAAGGCGACGAUCCAUAGCCGACCUGAGAGGGUGACCGGCCACAUUGGGACUGAGACACGGCCCAA